RNAcentral lists this transfer RNA (72 nucleotides) under Aliterella atlantica CENA595. It matches the Rfam family "tRNA". Rfam says of the family: Transfer RNA (tRNA) molecules are approximately 80 nucleotides in length. Their secondary structure includes four short double-helical elements and three loops (D, anti-codon, and T loops). The record is from Rfam by way of RNAcentral. Lineage: Bacteria; Bacillati; Cyanobacteriota; Cyanophyceae; Chroococcidiopsidales; Aliterellaceae.
GCGGGGAUGAAGCAAAGGCGGCUUGCCAGGUUCAUACCCUGGAAAUCAGUAGGUUCGACUCCUACCCCCGCC